UACAGAGGUCUCAAGCGUUGUUCGGAUUCAUUGGGCGUAAAGGGUGCGUAGGCGGCGCGGUAAGUCGGGUGUGAAAUCUCGGAGCUUAACUCCGAAACUGCAUUCGAUACUGCCGUGCUUGAGGACUGGAGAGGAGACUGGAAUUUACGGUGUAGCGGUGAAAUGCGUAGAUAUCGUAAGGAAGACCAGUGGCGAAGGCGGGGCUCUGGGCAGUUCCUGACGCUGAGGCACGAAGGCCAGGGGAGCAAACGGG
RNAcentral lists this ribosomal RNA (253 nucleotides) under uncultured bacterium. RNAcentral describes it as "partial 16S ribosomal RNA". It matches the Rfam family "Bacterial small subunit ribosomal RNA", at positions 524 to 776 of the family's 1533-position model. The record is from RNAcentral.